AAAUUGAAGAGUUUGAUCAUGGCUCAGAUUGAACGCUGGCGGCAGGCCUAACACAUGCAAGUCGAACGGUAACAGGAAGCAGCUUGCUGCUUCGCUGACGAGUGGCGGACGGGUGAGUAACGUCUGGGAAACUGCCUGAUGGAGGGGGAUAACUACUGGAAACGGUAGCUAAUACCGCAUAACGUCGCAAGACCAAAGAGGGGGACCUUCGGACCUCUUGCCAUCGGAUGUGCCCAGAUGGGAUUAGCUAGUAGGUGGGGUAACGGCUCACCUAGGCGACGAUCCCUAGCUGGUCUGAGAGGAUGACCAGCCACACUGGAACUGAGACACGGUCCAGACUCCUACGGGAGGCAGCAGUGGGGAAUAUUGCACAAUGGGCGCAAGCCUGAUGCAGCCAUGCCGCGUGUAUGAAGAAGG
This 417-nucleotide ribosomal RNA is filed under the name Escherichia coli. Its description in RNAcentral is "bacterial SSU rRNA". It matches the Rfam family "Bacterial small subunit ribosomal RNA", at positions 1 to 414 of the family's 1533-position model. The record is from RNAcentral. Lineage: Bacteria; Pseudomonadati; Pseudomonadota; Gammaproteobacteria; Enterobacterales; Enterobacteriaceae.